RNAcentral lists this transfer RNA (85 nucleotides) under bacterium. RNAcentral's name for it is "tRNA-Leu". It matches the Rfam family "tRNA". Rfam says of the family: Transfer RNA (tRNA) molecules are approximately 80 nucleotides in length. Their secondary structure includes four short double-helical elements and three loops (D, anti-codon, and T loops). The record is from RNAcentral.
GCCGGGAUGGCGGAAUUGGUAUACGCGCUAGUCUUAGGAACUAGUGUCGCAAGACUUGAGGGUUCGAGUCCCUCUCCCGGCACCA